RNAcentral lists this ribosomal RNA (253 nucleotides) under uncultured bacterium. RNAcentral describes it as "partial 16S ribosomal RNA". It matches the Rfam family "Bacterial small subunit ribosomal RNA", at positions 524 to 776 of the family's 1533-position model. The record is from RNAcentral.
UACGUAGGGGGCAAGCGUUGUCCGGAAUCAUUGGGCGUAAAGAGCGUGUAGGCGGCUCGGUAAGUCCGCUGUGAAAGUCCAGGGCUCAACCCUGGAAUGCCGGUGGAAACUGUCGAGCUAGAGUCCGGAAGAGGCGAGUGGAAUUCCUGGUGUAGCGGUGAAAUGCGUAGAGAUCAGGAGGAAUACCGGUGGCGAAAGCGACUCUCUGGACGGCAACUGACGCUGAGGCACGAAAGCGUGGGGAGCAAACAGG